This 121-nucleotide small nucleolar RNA is filed under the name Echinops telfairi (small Madagascar hedgehog). RNAcentral describes it as "Small nucleolar RNA SNORA61 (ENSETEG00000024655.1)". Lineage: Eukaryota; Metazoa; Chordata; Mammalia; Afrosoricida; Tenrecidae. The record is from RNAcentral.
ACCCUCCGGUUUAUUUCCCCUUCAGAUCUAAACACUGUUCUGAAUGGUUAUAAAAGGACGCAAAGUAACAUCAAAACUGACUUCAGUGCUUUUGUGGCACGUGGACUAGUUUCAAAACAUU